UGGGGAAUAUUGGACAAUGGGCGAAAGCCUGAUCCAGCCAUGCCGCGUGUGUGAAGAAGGUCUUCGGAUUGUAAAGCACUUUAAGUUGGGAGGAAGGGCAUUAACCUAAUACGUUAGUGUUUUGACGUUACCGACAGAAUAAGCACCGGCUAACUCUGUGCCAGCAGCCGCGGUAAUACAGAGGGUGCAAGCGUUAAUCGGAAUUACUGGGCGUAAAGCGCGCGUAGGUGGUUUAUUAAGUUGGAUGUGAAAUCCCCGGGCUCAACCUGGGAACUGCAUUCAAAACUGACUGACUAGAGUAUGGUAGAGGGUGGUGGAAUUUCCUGUGUAGCGGUGAAAUGCGUAGAUAUAGGAAGGAACACCAGUGGCGAAGGCGACCACCUGGACUAAUACUGACACUGAGGUGCGAAAGCGUGGGGAGCAAACA
Molecule: ribosomal RNA, 427 nt
Filed under: uncultured bacterium
Lineage: Bacteria
Description: partial 16S ribosomal RNA
Rfam family: Bacterial small subunit ribosomal RNA
Source: RNAcentral